GGGGAACCCUGAUCCAGCCAUGCCGCGUGUGUGAAGAAGGCCUUAUGGUUGUAAAGCACUUUAAGCGAGGAGGAGGCUCUUUUGGUUAAUCCCCAAGAUGAGUGGACGUUACUCGCAGAAUAAGCACCGGCUAACUCUGUGCCAGCAGCCGCGGUAAUACGGAGGGUGCAAGCGUUACUCGGAAUCACUGGGCGUAAAGAGCACGUAGGCGGCCUUGCAAGUCAGAUGUGAAAAACAACGGCUUAACCGUUGAACUGCAUUUGAAACUGCAAGGCUAGAGUAUGGGAGAGGUAGGUGGAAUUCUCGGUGUAGGGGUAAAAUCCGUAGAGAUCGAGAGGAAUACUCAUUGCGAAGGCGACCUGCUGGAACAUUACUGACACUGAGGCACGAAAGCGUGGGGAGCAAACA
RNAcentral lists this ribosomal RNA (408 nucleotides) under uncultured Wolinella sp. RNAcentral describes it as "bacterial SSU rRNA". It matches the Rfam family "Bacterial small subunit ribosomal RNA", at positions 375 to 774 of the family's 1533-position model. Lineage: Bacteria; Pseudomonadati; Campylobacterota; Epsilonproteobacteria; Campylobacterales; Helicobacteraceae. The record is from RNAcentral.